GAGUUUGAUCGUGGCUCAGGAUGAACGCUAGCUACAGGCUUAACACAUGCAAGUCGCGGGGCAGCAUGUAUCUGGCUUGCCAGAUACGAUGGCGACCGGCGCACGGGUGAGUAACGCGUAUCCAACCUGCCCAUAACCACGGCACAGCCCGUCGAAAGGCGGAUUAAUGCCGUAUGAGGUUCCAGAGUAGCAUUAUUAUGGAACGAAAGGAUUGGCGGUUAUGGAUGGGGAUGCGUCCGAUUAGCUUGUUGGCGGGGUAACGGCCCACCAAGGCGACGAUCAGUAGCCGGACUGAGAGGUUGGCCGGCCACAUUGGGACUGAGACACGGCCCAGACUCCUAC
RNAcentral lists this ribosomal RNA (342 nucleotides) under uncultured bacterium. Its description in RNAcentral is "bacterial SSU rRNA". It matches the Rfam family "Bacterial small subunit ribosomal RNA", at positions 9 to 342 of the family's 1533-position model. The record is from RNAcentral.